This 396-nucleotide transfer RNA is filed under the name uncultured Microcystis sp. RNAcentral describes it as "bacterial LSU rRNA". The stretch from base 133 to 206 matches the Rfam family "tRNA". Lineage: Bacteria; Bacillati; Cyanobacteriota; Cyanophyceae; Chroococcales; Microcystaceae. The record is from RNAcentral.
AGGGGAGACCUAAUUCGGGUAUAAGACGAAAAAAUAGUAGUCGAAACCAAGAAUCAAUCCCAAAAGGUCGGAGCGAGGCAUGAGGCUUUCAAACUAGGUUCUGGGUUCAUAAAAGACCUGAAUCAGGAACAAGGGCUAUUAGCUCAGGUGGUUAGAGCGCACCCCUGAUAAGGGUGAGGUCCCUGGUUCGAGUCCAGGAUGGCCCACCUGCACAGGUGGCAAAAACAAAAGAAGCGAGGAAUCAGCACCUUAUCUUACUUAUAUAGUAAGAGAGAAUGCUGGCUCUGAGUAAAGAGUCCAGAGGAACCUUGAAAACUGCAUAGAGCUAGGUGAAAAAGCCAAAAAAGAAGACCGCAAGGUCAAGCUAAUAAGGGCUAACGGUGGAUACCUAGGCAC